GAAUUGCGAUAUGUAAUGUGAAUUGCAGAAUUCAGUGAAUCAUCGAAUCUUUGAACGCACAUUGCACCCUCUAGUAUUCUGGAGGGUAUGCCUGUUUGAGUGUCAUUAAUCUAUCAACCCAACUGAGAUGUAAUCUUGUGUUUGGUGCUUGGAUGAUGAAGGUUGCUGGAGUCAACAUCAGCUCCUUUUAAAUGCAUUAGCAGAACUUUGUAUCAGCUUUGGUUUGAUAAUAAUUUUAUCUGAGCCGUUGCUGAUAAGCAAUAGUUUAGCUUACAAUUGUCUCAUUUGAGACUGUCCAACUUUUGGGCAUUAUUUUGACUUGACCUCAAAUCAGGUAGGACUACCCGCUGAACUUAA
This 357-nucleotide unclassified non-coding RNA is filed under the name uncultured Agaricales. RNAcentral describes it as "sequence contains ITS1". The stretch from base 1 to 105 matches the Rfam family "5.8S ribosomal RNA", at positions 50 to 154 of the family's 154-position model. The record is from RNAcentral. Lineage: Eukaryota; Fungi; Basidiomycota; Agaricomycetes; Agaricales.